RNAcentral lists this ribosomal RNA (253 nucleotides) under uncultured bacterium. Its description in RNAcentral is "partial 16S ribosomal RNA". It matches the Rfam family "Bacterial small subunit ribosomal RNA", at positions 524 to 776 of the family's 1533-position model. The record is from RNAcentral.
UACAGAGGGUGCGAGCGUUAAUCGGAAUUACUGGGCGUAAAGCGCGCGUAGGCGGCUAUGCAAGUCGGGUGUGAAAUCCCCAGGCUUAACCUGGGAACUGCAUUCGAGACUGCAUUGCUAGAGUAUGGGAGGGGGAAGUGGAAUUUCCGGUGUAGCGGUGAAAUGCGUAGAUAUCGGAAGGAACAUCAGUGGCGAAAGCGACUUCCUGGACCAAUACUGACGCUCAUGUGCGAAAGCGUGGGGAGCAAACAGG